RNAcentral lists this ribosomal RNA (466 nucleotides) under uncultured bacterium. RNAcentral's name for it is "partial 16S ribosomal RNA". It matches the Rfam family "Bacterial small subunit ribosomal RNA", at positions 28 to 507 of the family's 1533-position model. The record is from RNAcentral.
GAUGAACGCUGGCGGCGUGCUUAACACAUGCAAGUCGAACGAUGAAGCCCAGCUUGCUGGGUGGAUUAGUGGCGAACGGGUGAGUAACACGUGAGUAACCUGCCCUUAACUCUGGGAUAAGCCUGGUAAACUGGGUCUAAUACCGGAUAGGAGCGUCCACCGCAUGGUGGGUGUUGGAAAGAUUUAUCGGUUUUGGAUGGACUCGCGGCCUGUCAGCUUGUUGGUGAGGUAAUGGCUCACCAAGGCGACGACGGGUAGCCGGCCUGAGAGGGUGACCGGCCACACUGGGACUGAGACACGGCCCAGACUCCUACGGGAGGAAGCAGUGGGGAAUAUUGCACAAUGGGCGCAAGCCUGAUGCAGCGACGCCGCGUGAGGGAUGACGGCCUUCGGGUUGUAAACCUCUUUCAGUAGGGAAGAAGCGAAAGUGACGGUACCUGCAGAAGAAGCACCGGCUAACUACGUG